Transfer RNA from Camelus ferus (Wild Bactrian camel), 73 nucleotides. It matches the Rfam family "tRNA". From Rfam's summary of the family: Transfer RNA (tRNA) molecules are approximately 80 nucleotides in length. Their secondary structure includes four short double-helical elements and three loops (D, anti-codon, and T loops). The record is from Rfam. Lineage: Eukaryota; Metazoa; Chordata; Mammalia; Artiodactyla; Camelidae.
GAGGGUAUAGCUCAAGUGGUAGAGCGCAUGCUCAGCAUGUACAGGGUCCUGGGUUCAAUCCCCAGUGCCUCCU